UGCCAGCCGCCGCGGUAAUACGGAGGGUGCAAGCGUUAUCCGGAUUCAUUGGGUUUAAAGGGUGCGUAGGCGGGACAUUAAGUCAGUGGUGAAAUCUCUCAGCUCAACUGAGAAACUGCCAUUGAUACUGAUGUUCUUGAGUUUGAUUGAAGUAGGCGGAAUGAGGCAUGUAGCGGUGAAAUGCAUAGAUAUGCCUCAGAACACCGAUCGCGAAGGCAGCUUACUAAGUCAAUACUGACGCUGAGGCACGAAAGCGUGGGGAGCAAACAGGAUUAGAUA
RNAcentral lists this ribosomal RNA (279 nucleotides) under uncultured bacterium. RNAcentral describes it as "partial 16S ribosomal RNA". It matches the Rfam family "Bacterial small subunit ribosomal RNA", at positions 506 to 784 of the family's 1533-position model. The record is from RNAcentral.